This 467-nucleotide ribosomal RNA is filed under the name uncultured bacterium. Its description in RNAcentral is "partial 16S ribosomal RNA". It matches the Rfam family "Bacterial small subunit ribosomal RNA", at positions 28 to 506 of the family's 1533-position model. The record is from RNAcentral.
GACGAACGCUGGCGGCGUGCUUAACACAUGCAAGUCGAACGGAAAGGCCCUGCUUUUGUGGGGUGCUCGAGUGGCGAACGGGUGAGUAACACGUGAGUAACCUGCCCUUGACUUUGGGAUAACUUCAGGAAACUGGGGCUAAUACCGGAUAGGAGCUCCUGCUGCAUGGUGGGGGUUGGAAAGUUUCGGCGGUUGGGGAUGGACUCGCGGCUUAUCAGCUUGUUGGUGGGGUAGUGGCUUACCAAGGCUUUGACGGGUAGCCGGCCUGAGAGGGUGACCGGCCACAUUGGGACUGAGAGACGGCCCAGACUCCUACGGGAGGCAGCAGUGGGGAAUAUUGCACAAUGGGCGGAAGCCUGAUGCAGCAACGCCGCGUGCGGGAUGACGGCCUUCGGGUUGUAAACCGCUUUCGCCUGUGACGAAGCGUGAGUGACGGUAAUGGGUAAAGAAGUACCGGCUAACUACGU